GAUGAACGCUGGCGGUGUGCCUAAUACAUGCAAGUCGAACGAGACCUUCGGGUCUAGUGGCGGACGGGUGAGUAACACGUUGGUACCUACCCCUAAGUGGGGAAUAACUGGCCGAAAGGUCGGCUAAUACCGCAUAAUCCCGCAAGGGUAAAGCAGUAAUGCGCUUAGGGAGGGGCCUGCGUCUGAUUAGCUAGUUGGUAGGGUAAAAGCCUACCAAGGCGACGAUCAGUAGCUGGAUCGAGAGGUUGACCAGCCACACUGGGACUGAGA
This 270-nucleotide ribosomal RNA is filed under the name uncultured bacterium. RNAcentral describes it as "partial 16S ribosomal RNA". It matches the Rfam family "Bacterial small subunit ribosomal RNA", at positions 28 to 324 of the family's 1533-position model. The record is from RNAcentral.